This 497-nucleotide ribosomal RNA is filed under the name uncultured bacterium. RNAcentral's name for it is "partial 16S ribosomal RNA". It matches the Rfam family "Bacterial small subunit ribosomal RNA", at positions 28 to 507 of the family's 1533-position model. The record is from RNAcentral.
GAUGAACGCUGGCGGCGUGCCUAAUACAUGCAAGUCGAGCGAAAAGACGAGGCUCUUGCUCCUCUGACGUUAGCCGCGGACGGGUGAGAAACACGUGGAUAACCUACCUAUAAGACUGGGAUAACUUCGGGAAACCGGCGCAAAUACCGGAUAAUCUAUUGAAGCGUAUGGGUCAAUAGUGAAAGACGGCUUUGCUGUCACUUAUAGAUGGAUACGCGCCGCAUGAGCUAGUUGGUAAGGUAACGGCUUAUCAGGGCAAGGAUGCGUAGCCGACCUGAUAGGGUGGUAGGCCACCCUGGAGCUGAGCUGCGGACCAUGGGACUGCGAGAGGCAGCAGUAGGGAACCUGCCGCAGUGGGCGAAAGCCUGACGGAGCAACCCGGAGUGAGAGAUGAAGGUCUUGCGAGCGUAAUACUGUGCUAUGAGUUAAAAACAAAUGUGGAAGUAACUAUGCACGGCUUGACGGUACUUGGUCAGAAAGCCACGGCUAACUACGUG